GGGGGGAGAAAAAAGAUUUAGUCUUCGUUGCCUACUUUUGGUUUGACUCCUUUGUCCUCUAAACUCCCUUCAGGAAAUGUAGAACACGAAAAAAACAUUUUACUAUAAGAUUUGAGAUCUCCUAUAAAAUGAGUAUAAUAUAGUAAAAUUAUUACUUCUAGUUAUCUUAGUGUACUCCCCAUUUAUUCUGUUCUCUUGAUAAAAAUUCUGCAAGACUGGUUCUUUUAUAGGG
RNAcentral lists this long non-coding RNA (232 nucleotides) under Nicotiana benthamiana. Its description in RNAcentral is "long non-coding RNA (NBEN_LNC000951)". The record is from RNAcentral. Lineage: Eukaryota; Viridiplantae; Streptophyta; Magnoliopsida; Solanales; Solanaceae.